CCACGGGUUCCGUGUCGGAGCUAACGCGUUAAGCAUCCCGCCUGGGGAGUACGGCCGCAAGGCUAAAACUCAAAGAAAUUGACGGGGGCCCGCACAAGCGGCGGAGCAUGCGGAUUAAUUCGAUGCAACGCGAAGAACCUUACCUGGGCUUGACAUGUUCCCGACGGUCGUAGAGAUACGGCUUCCCUUCGGGGCGGGUUCACAGGUGGUGCAUGGUCGUCGUCAGCUCGUGUCGUGAGAUGUUGGGUUAAGUCCCGCAACGAGCGCAACCCUCGCCCCGUGUUGCCAGCGGAUUAUGCCGGGAACUCACGGGGGACCGCCGGGGUUAACUCGGAGGAAGGUGGGGAUGACGUCAGAUCAUCAUGCCCCUUACGUCCAGGGCUUCACGCAUGCUACAAUGGCCGGUACAACGGGAUGCGACGCGGCGACGCGGAGCGGAUCCCUGAAAACCGGUCUCAGUUCGGAUCGCAGUCUGCAACUCGACUGCGUGAAGGCGGAGUCGCUAGUAAUCGCGAAUCAGCAACGUCGCGGUGAAUGCGUUCCCGGGCCUUGUACACACCGCCCGUCAAGUCAUGAAAGUGGGCAGCACCCGAAGCCGGUGGCCUAACCCCUUGUGGGAUGGAGCCGUCUAAGGUGAGGCUCGUGAUUGGGACUAAGUCGUAC
RNAcentral lists this ribosomal RNA (663 nucleotides) under Bifidobacterium longum. RNAcentral describes it as "bacterial SSU rRNA". It matches the Rfam family "Bacterial small subunit ribosomal RNA", at positions 832 to 1491 of the family's 1533-position model. Lineage: Bacteria; Bacillati; Actinomycetota; Actinomycetes; Bifidobacteriales; Bifidobacteriaceae. The record is from RNAcentral.